GGCUCUCUAGCCCAACUGGCAGAGGCAGCGGAUUCAAACCCCGCACAGUCCGAGUUCAAAUCUCGGGAGAGCCA
This 74-nucleotide transfer RNA is filed under the name Leucobacter sp. G161. It matches the Rfam family "tRNA". From Rfam's summary of the family: Transfer RNA (tRNA) molecules are approximately 80 nucleotides in length. Lineage: Bacteria; Bacillati; Actinomycetota; Actinomycetes; Micrococcales; Microbacteriaceae. The record is from Rfam by way of RNAcentral.